Malus domestica (apple) is the source of this 990-nucleotide non-coding RNA. The record is from RefSeq and is a predicted model, not a curated record. NCBI's taxonomy places the organism in Eukaryota, Viridiplantae, Streptophyta, Magnoliopsida, Rosales, Rosaceae.
CCAAAAAAUUUCCGAAACCAAACCGAAAAUCCCGAAACGUAUGGUACCCAAUACCGAACCAAACCGAAAUUUUCGGUAUGGGAAUCGGUUUCAAGUCUUCGUUUUUUCGGUAUUUCCAAACCAAACUGAAAUAAAAAAAAAAUAUUAUUUAAUUUUUAAAUAUAUAUUUGAAAUUGUAACAGCCGUUGGAUUCGGUUGAGAUUUAAUCUCAACCGUUGAAUAGAAAUCAAACCCUACACUUUACACUAUGUCUCUCCCGUCUCUCUCGACACUCAGUUCACUCACUCUUUCUUGCGGCUCUCCUCAGACUCAAACCCUCACCUCACCACCCUUGUCGCCAAUUUUUCUGUCCUUUUUCGAAUCCGGCCACAUAAGUGACUCACUUAAGUCACAUCUCUCUCAACUAUCACUUCUCUGAUCUCUCUCUCAGUCUCUCUCGACUUCUCGUCCCACACAGAGUCACAAUGGAGGAUUCUUCCUUCACAAAUCACGACCACCAGCGUCAUUCUCCUUCUCAGUCUCUCUCGAUUCUAGUCAUCCAGUGCACUGUGCAAUUCUCCACCAAAUCAGCACCAUAAAUGUAUUUACAGUUUGCAUUUGGUUAAAAGCGAGAAAGGAGGAAGCACGCAAGCAAGAAAUUGAGGUUGUCCAGCGUUUUCAAGAACUUUUUACCCAAACGAAGUACAAAGAAGCUACUGAGCUUGCUGCGGAUACUGUUGCUAAAUUUCGGGUUCCCAUUUUGCUUAUGUAUUUGUACAUGUUUCUUUCUUUAAGCAGUAUUUCUCUCUUCAAUUUUUAGUACAAUAGCCCAAAAGUCCAAAACUAUUUUGGGAUUUCCAAUUGUCCCGAAACUAUUUCGGGAUUCCCGAAAAUUUGGUUUGGGAUCAAUAUUGAAUUUGGGAUUCCCGAAAACUUCGGUUUGGGAAUCAGGACUUGCAUUUCAAUUCGGUAUUCCAUACCGAACCAGCCCUAAAUCAUAUUAGUCGACAU